AUCUGCACAGAAGGCCUCAUCAACAUCAACAUCAACAGAAACACUGCAACAUGGGUCUUUAGCUAAGGAUGAGGAAGAUGAAGGGCGCAAUGAUGAGAGGUCCCCAAAGAAUGACAAAUGUUGGAACUUCCUGUGGGAAGUGGUGAAGGCAGCAAGACACUUUACCCUCUGUGUCCUCCUUCCUG
Eleginops maclovinus (Patagonian blennie) is the source of this 185-nucleotide long non-coding RNA. RefSeq lists it as uncharacterized. NCBI's taxonomy places the organism in Eukaryota, Metazoa, Chordata, Actinopteri, Perciformes, Eleginopidae. The record is from RefSeq and is a predicted model, not a curated record. The transcript is spliced from 3 exons.